RNAcentral lists this unclassified non-coding RNA (2287 nucleotides) under Leishmania donovani. Its description in RNAcentral is "gene:LdHU3.10.1370(CDS-product:Translation_initia tion_factor_eIF-2B_subunit_beta_putative)". Lineage: Eukaryota; Euglenozoa; Kinetoplastea; Trypanosomatida; Trypanosomatidae. The record is from RNAcentral.
AUGGCUUCGUCAUUUCUCCCUCGUGCUCUUUCCCACUCCCGCCCCCUUCCGGACGGCGCGGAUAACUGUUGGCGUCUCCACCAGGCUGGGGCCCUUCCGUCGCUUCUCUUCCCAUCGGCGCCCACGCUUCAGCUGCUUAUCCCCCUCCCCCUUCCCUUCCCCCUCACCUCUAUACCAGCACGCAAGCAAACGCAAGAUGCUGAGUAAUGUGCCAGAAGAGUCUGAGAAGCUGGUGCGAGAGGUCAGCGACCUCGCAGAGGCCUUCAUCACAAAUCUGAAGCGCGGAAAGCUCGCCGCCGCGCGCAGUGGCGAGGAGAGUCUCUCCACGGCGGCCGCAGUGGAGAUGGCAGAUGUAAUGUCGACCAUCGUGCGUCUCUUCCAGAAUGCCGAGAAAGACCCGCACAGCACAACAAUACAGCUGCUUAAGGCCGGCUACCCGGCGGCCGAGGUGGCGAGCAUGCAAGUCAGCCGCCUUCUCAUUCUCGUUGCUCGCACCGGUGAUGCGAUGCUGCGAGCACAGUUUGCCACGCUCUUUCUCAUGAACGUCACGCGUCGCGUGCUUUCCAUCGUGCGGGAGUCCGCCGCCAACAGCAAGGCCACCGACGCGGAGCUCGAAGAUGAGGCCAAGACAAUACUGAACGAUCUCGCCUCAGAUGACGAGGCAGCGGUGGUUGAAACCCCUGCCGACACUAGUUCGAGCUCCAGCAACAGGUACGGCAUGGACGACUCCGCAGAUCCGGUCAACCCGUCCCUGUCAGCCAAGGGCAUGAAGCCGGCUCUCAAGAGGGAUACUCUCGUCUCUCAGCCUCUCCCUCGCCGCGGACUCUCGGUGCGCUUCGCUGGCACCUCCAACAGCUCCGAGGAGGCGAGCGGUGGCCACAUGCGCCAGCUGCAGCAGCACAGCACGUCGGUGGCUAGUGACUUUGGGGGGCCGCUGCUGCAGCACACCGGCUCGAUAGUGGCGACGGAGAUACCGGGCCGGCAGCUGCUGAAGCGCGCGCCGAGCCGCUGUGAGCAAGUGCUGGAGGCGGGCGGCGGGGAGAUUGAGUUCCCGGUGCGCAUGGAGAUCUUUUACCAGGACGCCCUGGACGCCAUCGACGAGUUCAAGCGGGAGCUAGAGGGGAUGACCGAGGAGCUGUGUCGCCGUUCCACGCGGCAGCUGCACUCGUCGGACACGAUCAUCACGCUGGGGUGCAGUCAUACCAUCCGCCGCUACCUGCUGGAAGCUGCUCAAGCGGGGCACCACUUCAAAGUCUUCAUCCUUGAGGGUGCACCGCUGCCGGCGCAGGCGACGCAGGAGUUUGCGGAGGCGCUGUGCAGUCGCGGCAUCACUGCGCAGCUGUUGCCAGACAGCUCCGCCUACGUGGUCAUGAGCAUGUGCACCAAGGUGCUGGUUGGUGCCGAGAACGUCUUGGCCAACGGCGGCAUGCUCGCAUCCAUCGGCACCCACGUCCUCUGCGCCGCUGCUCGCCACUUUGCUGUCCCCGUGCUGGUCGCCACCACAACGCUGAAGAUGUCGCCGUACUAUCCAAGCGACCAGCUGUGCACGCGGCUGGUGCGCAUUGCACGGUCGGGGGCGCAGGAGAUGCCAUGGUCGACCUACGGCUCCCCCGAGGAUGUGUGGCCCUCGCCGUUUGGCGUCUCCGUCUCCGACAGCGGCCGCCGCUUGACCAUCCACGCCCCCGUCACGGAGUACGUGCCGCCCGAGCUCAUUACGUUGUUUUUAACUAACGACAGCGAGCUGUUGCCCUCGCAGAUCCACCGCAUUGUGCGGGCGAACUACAGCGACGCAGAUUGAAGCCAGCCUUGGCGUGUCUCGGUUUUGGUUUUUUGUUUGUGUAUGUGUGUGUGUGUGUGUGUGUGCAGACGGUCGGUAGCUGCAGAUGUGGGAGUGCCUCGACGUCUGUCUCAGUGUGCACGCGCCUGGGUGGUAGAGAGGGAGGCGGGGCGGUGUGUGGGAGAAUUUGUGUGCGCCCUUCUUCACUGGCGCUGUCACGCUUCGCGCGUUCGAUUUCUUUCGUGUUCGCGGCUAAGCUGGAGCCAUGGCGGUGAUUAAGCAGGGAGAGGGAAGAAUAGGGAGGGAGGGCGUGCCGCGCUCGUGCGCACGGACACAAAUACUAGAGUUACGGCAACGUGCUGUACACGCACGUUGCAUUCUCUGAUUCUCUCUCCCUUCUUUUCGUUCUCUCUCGUCCUGCGUGUGGUUACGUGUAUGUUUGUUGUAUGUAGACGUGUGUGGACGUGCUGUGGCUAUCCUGUGGCAUUGGCCACACUGUCGAGGUCGAUC